CGGUCAAGUUAUUUUCCAUUCCAAAGUCUAACUUCAUCAUGUAAAUUUCUCACCCUGCUCUUAAGGGGCCAGAGAUAAUAUCCAUUUUAAGGAGUAUUAUCAAAGGAAAAACUUUGUCAGGCCACAGGAUGUUUUAUUAUACCCUUCUUUCUUAGCAAAUAUCUGCAAAGAAGGGUGUCUUAUACUUCACAGGGGUGUUGAUGGGAGGGCAAGCCUCUGAAUUCACUUACACAAAUAAUAAGUGUAAAACAAAAAUAAAUAUUAUUAUUGAACAGUAAUUGGACAUCCAGCACCCAAAAUUUUCAUUAAAUAAGACAGAAUAUUUUUAAAAGCAAUUUAAUCUCUUAUAAACAGCCAAAGUGAAUUUUAAGCAAUGCAUGGAUCUCUAAUAGGUAUUUCUUCCAAGGAUAUAAAACAGUUCUUUGUAAGUAUAAACAACUCUUUAUUACAACAUUAAGUUAUUCUUAAAGUUAGUUCAAAUACAUAUUUUCAAAUGUUAGAAAUUCUUAUAUUCUUAUAGGAUAUCUUAUAGGAGAUAUCUUACAGGUAUCUUAUAAGAGAUGAAUGUCCCAAGAAGACUUCCUAGAAGGUAAUCCCAUAGGAGUUCUCAGCCAUGAAACUUCAAGAGCAUUGAAAGUACAGAGUAAACAAUGUCAUGCAAUUAAAUUUAACUCUUACUAGCCUCCAUCUACUCAAAUUAAUCAAUAUUAACAUAUGGAUUCAGAAAAUGUGGACAACUCCAAGUCAUUUAUUCUAGAAGGAUGAAUUAUCUUGCUAGGAAUUUACCCAAGUUUUCUCCCCUUUUCCUUUUCUGUGAGAGAGAGUCCAUGUGUGUGCAUGCAUGUGUGUGUAUAUGUGUGUGUGUGUGUGUAUGGCCACUUAUCAGCAUUCAAGGAACAAAACUAUGGUUUCCUUUAUUUUACCUUACAUUUAAAGAAUAAACAUAUUUCUGAAAUUUUCAACUCAACUGAACUUUAUAAUAAACUGCUAAAGAUGAAAAAAAAAAGGUGAUAGUUUUCAGGAUGUCAGAAAUGUGAACACAGAUUCAAUAAGGCUAUUAAUUUUUUCACCAAUUAGGAAACUUUAGAGGUUAGCUAUAAAGGAACAAAGGAAAAGAGGCAUAAAUAAAUUUCUUAUAUAUAUUCAGAGGAGUAAAGAAACCUACUGAAAGGAAAAGAAUGAGGAAGGAAGAAUGCGAGGAAGGAAGGAAGAAAGAUAGAGGAAGGAGAUGGAAGAGAUGCUUUUUAUUGUGAAAAUAGGUAAAAGACAAAAGGCAAAUAUAUUCGUUAAACUGAAUUUUAAACUUAAAGUCCAGCCUACUGAGGUGACAUCUAGCUGGAGCUGGUACGAAGCCUUCAGGAUGGCAGGCACUCCACACGGUCUUGGCUCUCUUCCCCCUCGGAUGCACCUGAGGCACUGGAAGACUCAUCCAGGUCUGCAUCCAUGACCCCCAACCCAGAGCGCCCCUGGUG
This 1472-nucleotide long non-coding RNA is filed under the name Equus asinus (donkey). Its description in RNAcentral is "lncRNA (ENSEASG00005027224.1)". Lineage: Eukaryota; Metazoa; Chordata; Mammalia; Perissodactyla; Equidae. The record is from RNAcentral.